This 468-nucleotide ribosomal RNA is filed under the name uncultured bacterium. RNAcentral's name for it is "partial 16S ribosomal RNA". It matches the Rfam family "Bacterial small subunit ribosomal RNA", at positions 28 to 507 of the family's 1533-position model. The record is from RNAcentral.
GACGAACGCUGGCGGCGUGCUUAACACAUGCAAGUCGAACGGAAAGGCCCUGCGUUUGUGGGGUGCUCGAGUGGCGAACGGGUGAGUAACACGUGAGUAACCUGCCCAUGACAUUGGGAUAACUUCAGGAAACUGGGGUUAAUACAGGAUAGGAGCUACUGCUGCAUGGUGGGGGUUGGAAAGUUUCGGCGGUUGGGGAUGGACUGGCGGCUUAUCAGAUUGUUGGUGGGGUAGUGGCUUACCAAGGCGUUGACGGGUAGCCGGCCUGAGAGGGUGACCGGCCACAUUGGGACUGAGAUACGGCCGAGACUCCUACGGUCGGCAGCAGUGAGGAAUAUUGCACAAUGGGCGGAAGCCUGAUGCAGCAACGCCGCGUGCGGGAUGACGGCCUUCGGGUUGUAAACCGCUUUCGCCUGUGACGAAGCGUGAGUGACGGUAAUGGGUAGAGAAGCACCGGCUAACUACGUG